This 67-nucleotide ribosomal RNA is filed under the name Pseudomonas fragi. Its description in RNAcentral is "partial 23S ribosomal RNA". The record is from RNAcentral. Lineage: Bacteria; Pseudomonadati; Pseudomonadota; Gammaproteobacteria; Pseudomonadales; Pseudomonadaceae. RNAcentral also lists the same sequence under 4 other names.
CUGUGAGGCGUUGAGCUAACCAAUACUAAUUGCCCGUGAGGCUUGACCAUAUAACACCCAAGCAAUU